Molecule: ribosomal RNA, 261 nt
Filed under: uncultured bacterium
Lineage: Bacteria
Description: partial 16S ribosomal RNA
Rfam family: Bacterial small subunit ribosomal RNA
Source: RNAcentral
GGGGGGUACGAGAGGGCCGCUACCACGCGAGUGGAUGCCAAUCCCCAAAACCUCUCUCAGUUCGGACUGGAGUCUGCAACCCGACUCCACGAAGCUGGAUUCGCUAGUAAUCGCGCAUCAGCCACGGCGCGGUGAAUACGUUCCCGGGCCUUGUACACACCGCCCGUCAAGCCAUGGGAGCCGGGGGUACCUGAAGUGCGUAACCGCGAGGAGCGCCCUAGGGUAAAACUGGUGACUGGGGCUAAGUCGUAACAAGGUAAC